AUGAAGAAUCUGAGCAUCACUGAGGAUGACUUGGAUGAUGUGGUUUUUGAAGAGCAAGAUGUUCCAGCGGACGCGGUUGCGCGGUGGAUGGCAGUCGCAAGAGUUCACACACUAAAGAGCUAUAGCCAGUACUGGUUCUUUCGCAAUAUGAGGGUUUCCUGGGAUCUGGCGCAGGAGGUGAAGAUCCGUCCGCUCGAAGAAAAUCUCUACAUAAUGCAGUUCUCUUGCCUGGGUGAUUGGGAA
Molecule: ribosomal RNA, 243 nt
Filed under: Triticum aestivum (bread wheat)
Lineage: Eukaryota; Viridiplantae; Streptophyta; Magnoliopsida; Poales; Poaceae
Description: partial small subunit ribosomal RNA
Source: RNAcentral